RNAcentral lists this ribosomal RNA (492 nucleotides) under uncultured bacterium. Its description in RNAcentral is "partial 16S ribosomal RNA". It matches the Rfam family "Bacterial small subunit ribosomal RNA", at positions 29 to 507 of the family's 1533-position model. The record is from RNAcentral.
AGUGAACGCUGGCGGUAGACCUAACACAUGCAAGUCGAACGGCAGCACAGUAAGAGCUUGCUCUUACGGGUGGCGAGUGGCGGACGGGUGAGGAAUACAUCGGAAUCUACUUUUUCGUGGGGGAUAACGUAGGGAAACUUACGCUAAUACCGCAUACGACCUACGGGUGAAAGCAGGGGAUCUUCGGACCUUGCGCGAUUGAAUGAGCCGAUGUCGGAUUAGCUAGUUGGCGGGGUAAAGGCCCACCAAGGCGACGAUCCGUAGCUGGUCUGAGAGGAUGAUCAGCCACACUGGAACUGAGACACGGCCCAGACUCCUACGGGAGGCAGCAGUGGGGAAUAUUGGACAAUGGGCGCAAGCCUGAUCCAGCCAUACCGCGUGGGUGAAGAAGGCCUUCGGGUUGUAAAGCCCUUUUGUUGGGAAAGAAAAGCAGCAGGUUAAUACCCCGCUGUUCUGACGGUACCCAAAGAAUAAGCACCGGCUAACUUCGUG